CCCAGCAAAGGAGUCACAUGAUGGCACUACAAGAAAAAGGUCUGCUGGUGGCUGCCGCAAAUGCUCUAAAUGCAGAUCGAUAAUGCCAGUUUGGACCCAGAGAGCAGAGAGGACAAGAAGGCUGAGUCAGGAGGAGAUCCGGAAAGGCAGUGGUUCGAGAGGAAGGUGUGCAUACAGCUCCUCAGCCUACCUAUCCCCUCAGGCCCACACAAGGAUGCAGUUGAGUCAGCUGCAGAGUACUUUGCCUUCGUAGCCACGUUGGAUUUGGCAGCUGGUGAUCACCAUGCCGGACUUGGGUGCUCUGAGGUCCCUGCCUCUUGCUCUGUCAUUCCUCAGUGCUCUUCACUCCCCGUGGCAGCAGGAGGCUCCCAGCACAGCAGGGAAGGUUUGGAGCUGGCUCCUUCGAUCGUAGACCUGUAGGCAUUUCCACUUACCCACCGACACCCAUAUAUGCGCAGCAGCCCCAAGGAAACCAAUCCCAACGAAACCAAAGACAGACUUUCAGGAACUCUUAUGAAACAAAUCGGGCCGUGACCUGUCAUUACAUGAGCAAGGCAAAGUACAACCAGAGUGCAUGGACAUCCACGCUCACACAGAUUUGGUUGUGCACGCCUAAACUACCCACGGUGGUGCACACCUGGAAUCACAGUGCUCGGAGGCUGAGGCAGGAGGAUCACUGCAAGUUCAAGCCCAGCCUGGAUUAUCUCAUGAGUUCAAGAACAGCCUGAAUGAUACAUUGAGACGCUGUGUCAAGAAACAAAAUAAAUAAGUAAAUAAACAAUAUACAUCGGAGGGCCCUUCAGAAAAUGAACACCAGUAAGAGCAGCUGGGAGCAGAGAGGGCAGGGUGGAAGGGGCCCAUGCCCUACUCUGUGUGUUUCCGCUUUGGGGAUUUUGGGUAAAUGGAUGCAUUUGGUAUUCAGAAUUAACAUAAACAUGCCCGGGGUCCUGGGCACACUUUGGUCACAGGGCCUGGGCGGCCCUGGACUGGAGCGCCCCGGCCCCUGCUCCCCAUGGCCACACAGGUGAAAUACAGGUCACCUCUGUGUCAUGGCUGCUCCACAACAGCAAAGAGGGUGGCCUGGCAGAGGCCAUGCGUCUCUCUCCUUCACUUACUCAUUAACUCUUCCAGUAAAUAUUUCUUGGGCACCUACGGUAAUACAGCCACUGGGCUCUGCCCUUGGGGUUCAGCCAGGAACAAGACACACAAGGCCCUAUCCACACAGAACUGACAGGCAGCAAAAGCAAAAUAAAUGAAAUGUCAAAGAAUUCACUUCAGGGCCAGGGAUUUAGCUCGGUGGUUCCGCUGCCUACCUUGCAAGCGCAAGGUCCCAAGUUCGAUCCCUGGUACCAAAAAGAAAAAACAAUUCACUUUUAACAGGGUGUAGGGGUGCACACCUGAGAUCACAGUACUCAGGAGGCUGAGGCAGAAGGAUGGCCACGUGUCCAAGAUCAGCCUACACUAGAUAUCAAGACCCUGCCUCAAAAAAGCAAAGCUCAACAACCAAAAAAAGAAUUCACUUCGAUCUGCCACAAUAAGGGGAAAGACAAGUACAUGAAAUCUGGACACACAGAACUAGGAAGCCAGAGAAGCUGGCAUUGACACUGAGUCUAAAAUAUAUAAAUCCAGAGACUAUAAGAAGUGGCCGGGAUGUUCUUGGACAAGGAAACCACUCAUCCAACUGCCCCUUUGCUCUGUGUCCUUGAAUAAACC
This is a long non-coding RNA of Heterocephalus glaber (naked mole-rat), 1713 nucleotides long. NCBI's taxonomy places the organism in Eukaryota, Metazoa, Chordata, Mammalia, Rodentia, Bathyergidae. The record is from Ensembl.